UACGUAGGGUGCAAGCGUUAAUCGGAAUUACUGGGCGUAAAGCGUGCGCAGGCGGCUUUGCAAGACAGAUGUGAAAUCCCCGGGCUCAACCUGGGAACUGCAUUUGUGACUGCAUGGCUGGAGUGCGGCAGAGGGGGAUGGAAUUCCGCGUGUAGCAGUGAAAUGCGUAGAUAUGCGGAGGAACACCGAUGGCGAAGGCAAUCCCCUGGGCCUGCACUGACGCUCAUGCGCGACAGCGUGGGGAUCAAACAGG
Molecule: ribosomal RNA, 253 nt
Filed under: uncultured bacterium
Lineage: Bacteria
Description: partial 16S ribosomal RNA
Rfam family: Bacterial small subunit ribosomal RNA
Source: RNAcentral